UACGUAGGGGGCAAGCGUUGUCCGGAUUUAUUGGGCGUAAAGAGCGUGUAGGCGGCCAGGCAGGUCCGCUGUGAAAACUCGAGGCUCAACCUCGAGAGGUCGGUGGAAACCGUCUGGCUAGAGUCCGGAAGAGGAGAGUGGAAUUCCCGGUGUAGCGGUGAAAUGCGCAGAUAUCGGGAAGAACACCCGCGGCGAAGGCGGCUCUCUGGGACGGUACUGACGCUGAGACGCGAAAGCGUGGGGAGCGAACAGG
This 253-nucleotide ribosomal RNA is filed under the name uncultured bacterium. Its description in RNAcentral is "partial 16S ribosomal RNA". It matches the Rfam family "Bacterial small subunit ribosomal RNA", at positions 524 to 776 of the family's 1533-position model. The record is from RNAcentral.